This 506-nucleotide ribosomal RNA is filed under the name uncultured bacterium. RNAcentral describes it as "partial 16S ribosomal RNA". It matches the Rfam family "Bacterial small subunit ribosomal RNA", at positions 30 to 523 of the family's 1533-position model. The record is from RNAcentral.
AUUGAACGCUGGCGGCAGGCCUAACACAUGCAAGUCGAACGGUAACAGGAAGCAGCCUGCUGCUUCGCUGACGAGUGGCGGACGGGUGAGUAAUGUCUGGGAAACUGCCUGAUGGAGGGGGAUAACUACUGGAAACGGUAGCUAAUACCGCAUAACGUCGCAAGACCAAAGAGGGGGACCUUCGGGCCUCUUGCCAUCGGAUGUGCCCAGAUGGGAUUAGCUAGUAGGUGGGGUAACGGCUCACCUAGGCGACGAUCCCUAGCUGGUCUGGGAGGAUGACCAGCCACACUGGAACUGAGACACGGUCCAGACUCCUACGGGAGGCAGCAGUGGGGAAUAUUGCACAAUGGGCGCAAGCCUGAUGCAGCCAUGCCGCGUGUAUGAAGAAGGCCUUCGGGUUGUAAAGUACUUUCAGCGGGGAGGAAGGCGAUAAGGUUAAUAACCUUGUCGAUUGACGUUACCCGCAGAAGAAGCACCGGCAAACUCCGUGCCAGCAGCCGCCGUAA